AGAAACUCAAACAAAUGUACAGCUAUUGAAUGCCGAGACACCUACCAAUAGUCAAAUCUACGAGGUCACCUCGACCUAAUUACUGACUGCCUCCUGAUCUGAAAACAUGAAGUUGAAAACGGUGAGUAUAAACCCAGUGAGUGAACAGAAAGGGAACAAGCAAUCAAUAGGAAAAUUUUGAAAAUCAUGCUGCACUUAUUUCAAAACAAUGCAAUCUAGUUUUACUCUUAUUAAAACCCCUCUUUAGACCCUUAAAUGGUUAAUCACUUGAUAAUGAUGAAUCCACACAUAACAAAGAAAUUGAAGAAUGAAGGUUUCAGCGAGAAUGCCUUUCCGGUGCAACGAAGUUAGGGCUCGAGUUACUAGCUAGACGAGGGUUUCUCAACCGACCGAGGGUUUCUCUCAAAAUUUCCUCAUUCCAAACUUAGUUAGAUAAUCCCCAAACAUGUUGGAAGUCCAUGCUUAACUAGGGUAUAAAUGAAAUGGAAAAAAAUGGCAAAAACCCACAAGAUAGCCAAAUGGAUAGAAGGUUUCUCGUUGCAGGGAGAUUUUUUCUCGCUGUAGCGAGUUUUACUUGGCCAAAAUAGAAAGUUUCUCGCUGCAGGGAGAACCAGGUCAGGUGAAGGUCCUCAAACUCGAAAGUUUCUUGCUGCAAGCAGAAUGAAUCUCACUGCUGCGAGAAACAGAGCACCAAGAAAAAGGUUUCCUUUCUUUCAAGAAAAAGCCAUCCUGCUAAAAUGAGAAACGCAACUUGAAACACAAACAAUUUCCCAAAGUUCAACAUGCCAAAUUCAUAUGCAUUUCAACUAUAAACCAUAUUCAUGAGUUUUCAUUCUCUAAACAUAUAUACAUAUACAUACAUGGAUAAAUACCAAUACCACUAUCAUCUCAUCCAGCUCAUGUGCAUCCCCCCACAUCGUGCACAUAGCCGGACUCAUAGUGUGCAUCCCCCCACAUCGUGAACAAUCAGUGGCAUCGUGUACAACCCCCCACAUCGUGCACACAGGGCACUAUCAUCAUCCAUCUCCCUCACCACCACCAUUACCGACAUGUGCAUUCCCCCACAUCGUGCACACACACGGUUGUAAUCAUCACACAAUAUCAACCAUCAUGCACAACAUAUAUAUAUCUAUAUAUAUACCAACAUAAUGUAGUAGUGCAUGAAUCCAUAACAACCGCAUGUCACAAAAUAAAAUUAAUUUAUCAAAGGCUUGUUCUCAAGGCACUUGUUUUUAAGGAAAGUUGGAUAAAAUAAUUCAAGUAUAUUGUGCAAAUAAGUUUACAUUCCCAAAACAAAUUUUGAAAUGCAAGUUCACUCACCGGUAUUUUGUUAAAUCCUUACUCAACUCCAACUUCCUCUAUUGGUCCAAAUGGGGUGAUGGGGCUUCGUUGGAACCUAUUAUCACAUUAGCAUCACCAUUAAGUCAAUUCACAUACUUAUAAAAUCUAAAAGCUUUUUCUUAGUUAGCUUUCAAAUUCCCAUUUAAGUGCCUAUCUAAGUUCACUAUUCUAAUCACUCUAAAGUGAAUAUGUCAUGACCCGGAACCUCCCUCAGGCCCAUGACAACCGCCGCGACGUCUCGAUUGACACUCAUUACCCGAAAUGCCAACCGAAACCCCGCAAGGCUUUCAUAUCAGUUUCUUUCCUUUCUUGUGAGCAAUUGUUGUUAAACAUUCCAUUUUAAACAAUUACAGGUCGUCUCUGGUUCAAAUAAAUCCAAAGAUAAUUUUAUUUUUUUAAAGGAUUUAUAGACAAAUAUCACUAUUCAAAAUAUUGAUUAAAAUAUAGCAUUUUUAUAUAAAACAAUAUUUGUAGAAACACAUGUAAGAAAUCUUUUGUAAUGUGUAAGUAAAAUAAAUUCAUACAUACAAAAAUUUACUAAGUUAUAAAGUACAAUAAUGGUUACAAUGACAAGUGGCCCAAAAUACACCCAGUGUUGGUGCUAGAAACCUACUGCUUGUGUGGUAGAGAUGUCAACUGGAAUCCUCGACAAAAUAGGGUAUCUAUAAGCUACCACAAACCUGAAAUGUUUGGAAAGGAGGUGGGUGAGAUUUUGCAAUCCCAAUGAGUAAACAGACAUUAUCAUAAAUAUCUAAAGGCGAGUAACAGGGAGGCAAGUUUAAACAACGAAUCACAAACCAUUUCAUAAUGUUUUCAAUUUAUUUCUUAAACCAUAAAAUAUUUGUAAUUUACCAAAACAGUUGUUAAGGCUUAUGUCUUUUAUAAAAGAAAACAAGGCUCAAGCCAAAACUAAUCCUCGGGGAUACCUUGGUCGAGGCAUCUAACCGAGUCCGUCAAGGUUGUUAUAACAUUUACAUGUGAAACACAUUUUUAUUUUUAAAACAAGCCGUUCCUUGGAGUUGGCCGAGUUACACAUUCACAUGGGGGUUCAAUGUGAAAUGAGCUCUAAUACUACCCCGGGAGUUACCUUCCUCGCCUCUACAACUGGAGUAACUAUAUAACCGGGUUUACCGUGCCCCUCUAAUAGACAGUUCAUGAAAACUCGUCACUGCAAUGACCAACCCACCAAUUUUAAUAAAAUUUCGACAGUAUAACGUGGCUUUUAUUUAUUUGUCCAGCCUACAUAGUAAAAACAACUUACAUAAAUUUCCCAGUUUACUUACAAAAUAUAGCCACAUAUACUCAUAUCUCAUGAGCCAUUCAUAGGAAAAUAUCUAAUUUUCAAGACAGUUAAUAGCCUCCAAUUACUCAAUUUCAUAAUCAACCUAAUAUAUCUUUAUUUGUCACAUUUAUUUGUAAAACAUCAAAAAUCCCGUUUUAAUCUCGUUUUCAUUUCAUAAAAUAAAUAAAGAGCAUUUAAAAAUAAACUCUAGAUAAUUUACAAUAAUAAUAAGUUUACUCACCGUUUGUUUGUACAAACUAAAAGCUUUCUAGGUGCCCCGAUAACUACCCAUCGGGUACGAUUUCCUUGCCUUUACCGGAAGGCUCUCCUCCUAGACACAUUGCAAAAAUUUACUCAAUUCAUCACAUUAAUGCUAAAUCACUAUAUAUUUGACUUAAAUCCUAUACUAAUGCAUGGUAUGAAAUGCAAUAGCCAAAAAUGGCUUAAACGCGGUAUUAACCUAUUUUUGGCACUUUACCCGAUAAAUUGCUAACGCGCUCCAUUUUAGCUCUAAAUUGUUCCAUUUUCUCUCCAACAUUUCUAACCAUUAAUUAUCAGCCAAUAUUCCUCUAAAAUCAAAAAAAUCAGCUCACUUUCUUCCUUGAAAAAUUUGGCCAAAAAUGGGACAUUAACUCAAUUAAUUUUCCACUUUGUUUUUCUAUCACAUUUAACCAUUUUUCAUCAUUUUCUCUUCAUUUCUCUUAGAAUAAAAAUCAGAUUAUCAUCAUUGUAUCUCAUUGCAGAUUCGGCCAAGGGUGGGUAUUGUGAAAAUUUAAUGCUUUCUUGCCCAAUUUAUUUUCUAAACACAUUUAACUAACUAAAACUAUCAAUUUAACUAAAAAUCAAAACCUAAAAAUUUCAAAAUCUCUCCCCUCGAAUUUCGUCCAGCCCUUGAUGUCACUUUUAGAUCUCUCUCCUCAAGCAUGCUAAAUGGACACAAAGGCAAAAGAAAGGUAAAAAUCAAGCUAAGGUCGAAAAAUCUUACCGUUAGACGCGUAAACGGGAGAAAAACGCGAAUUCCCUUUUGAAUUUUCUUGUUUCUCUUUGGUUUUUCUUUUUUUCUUCCUUUCCUCUCUAUUUUCUCUCUUGUUCUCCCCUAUGGCUGGCCAUCACUUAAAAUAGGGUUUAAAUGGGCUGACUUUUCAUUAAAAUAAUAUUAAACCAUUAAAAAAAUGCCAUGUGUCACUUUCCCAUUGGUCCGUUUUUAAAAUUUCAUCCAUUUGUUUCUAAAUUUUCACCCUACACUUGUCCCACAUAUCCAUAGGUAAGAUAAAAUUUUCAGACUUAUCCAAAGUCUUGGUGGAGUAAUUUUUGAAAUUUACACUUUUGCCCUCGUAAAAGUCAAAAAUUACAUUUUUGCCCCAAAAAUUGAAAAAUUGCCCAUAGACAUAUUUUUCAUCCCUUAUACUCAUACCAUUCUCCAAUUUGUCAAAUGUGAUCUAAAUUCUCUCAAAAUCUCAAAUUUUAUCCACGGGUGGAAAAAUUACGAUUUUACCCCUAAACAUCAAAAUUUUCAAUUUUUCCCCAAAUGAAUCCUCGAACUCCGAACAAUCAUUUUUAGUCAUUCCUAGACUAUAAAAUAUUAAAUUUGAUGCUACAAUUCCUAUUUGAACUAGUUCGAGGUUAAAUCAACUCAAGUGUACCGUUAGGUACGUCACCGGGUUUCCUCUAUUCUUAGGUGUUUUCCUAGCAUAAUAACAUGCUACUCAGUGCAUGUAUGUCAUGACAUGUGUUUAUAGGGUUAGGUUUUACAGAAUGAACAACCCCAACUACCAAAUCACCCCCCAAGUCUAAACACUAAUCAUUUUCAACAUAAAAGCUCAAUUCUAGUGUACUACUCACCUUGGUAGCUUGUAUUUGAAAUUCUUCCCAACAACUUUCAAGCUAUUAUUAAAGCUUCCUCUUUCUCUCUCUAAAACACCUAACUAGUGAGAGAGAGUAUGGAAACAAGAUUUUUCAAGGGCUUCAAAGUGAAAGAGUGGAAGAGCACAAGGGUUUAUGAAAGAAGUGCACCAAAGCAUGAAAAGUGGAGCUAUUUUAAGGGAGGUUAUGGAGCUUUCAUAUCAAGCUUUCAUGGAGGAUGAAACCAACGUGAGAUGAGAGGAAGAAGAAGGAGAAAAGCUGCUGGAAGAACAAGAUAUUUAUAGCCCAUGCUUAUCUACUUCACUUAAAUUACGAAAAUGCCCCUCCACAAAUUAGCUUGUUCUCUUCCAAUCCUUUAUGCAAUCCUUUUACUCUUUUGACACUAGGACAAAGUCCAUAAUGGUCUAGAAAUGCUCGGGAUCAUGAAAACUUAAAAAUUUUGACUCGAGGUAAAAAAUGACCAUUUUGCCCUUACCAUGGAAAUCAUCAUCAUUUUUAUUUCUUUCAUCAUUUUACCCUUAUUUAAUCAUCCAUUUAUGCCUUAGGCCUACUUAGGCCAUAAUAUUGUUUAAAAUCUUACUUUUAGGGGCUUACUAAGGAAAUGAUGAAAUUACCCCUAAUUAGGGAUAUCGCAUCUAUUUCUAUCUACGAGUCUAUAAAGGUCAAAGUCUCACACAAUUGUCUAAUCAAGUUGCAUUAAAAUGUUAUAGUAAAAAUAUACAAUCAUUAAUAGUGGAACAUGUCACGACUCGAAACUCCCAUCGAGCCUGUGACAACCGCCGCAACGUCUCGAUAGUCAUUCAUUACCUGGAAUGCCAAUCGAAACCUUGCAAGGCUUAACAUCAGUUUUUCUCGCUUCCCUUGUGAGUAUUAGCACUAAAUUAUGUUUUGAGAGAUUAUAAACUAUUUCCAAACCAAAACAAUAGAAAAACAAUUUUUUCUCAUAGGGGCAUUUUGGUCAUUUUUCUUUAAAAAUUUCGAAAUCCACUAAAAAUAUAGUAUGCGAGUACAAAACACAUAAUCCAUAAUCAAAAAUAAGCUUAAACAUCUAAAACCUUCAUUUAAAUUUAAAUUAUGAUUAUUUGGAUAUAAUAAAAAAAUAAAAGAAAUAUUCAAUAAAAUAUUCUAUUUUCUUAAAAAAUAAUAUUUUAGAGUUAUACGUAAAUAAUUUUUUUUUGUAGUAGCGUAAAAGCAAAAUAAAUUCAUACAUACUGUAAUACAAUAAGUCAAAGUAUUUAAUUUAAUUUACAAUAACCAGUGAGCCCUAUAACAACUAAAAGUAAAGAAGACUGUGAACCUACAGUUUGGAGGAUGCAAAUGUAGUGAUAGCCUUAAUGAAAUCAACUAUCUAUAGACUAUCCUGAGCCUGAAAUGGGUGAAAAUGAGGGUGGUGAGAUUAUAUAAUCCUAGUGAGUAAACAAAUACCAUCUAAAAUAUCUAAAGUCGAGUAAAUGGAGACAAAUAAAAUAGUUUUAUAUACUGUAAUUCAUCACCUUUCAACUUGUUUCAACCAAAUAAAAUCAAUUCAUAUAAAUCGAGUAAUCAACAUGGCUUAUGAAUUUCUUAAAACUUUAGCUCGUGCCAAAAUCAUUCUCAUACCCAGUUAUCAGGGAUACCUUGAUCGAGGGCUAUCCUAACCGAGUCCGCCAAGGUUGUUAAAAAGUUAUGUACGCAUAAAUCAUGUUUUUAUUUUGAAAACAUAGUCAUUCCUUGGCGUUGGCUGAGUUCACCCUCACGUGGUGGUUUGGCGUGAAGUGAACUCUAAAGUUAUACCUCGAGAGUUACCCUACUCGCCUCUCCAACCGAGGUAAAAUAUAACGGGAUUUUGUGCCCUUCUAAUAGGCUGGUCCACAAAAAACCUGCCCACUACAGCAAGUUAAACCCACCAUAUAAUAAAAUUUGCAAUAGCAUGACAUGGUAAUUAUUUUAUUUUAUUUUACAGCCUUUCAAGGCAAAUCAACAAUUUAUACAUUUCCAACACAUUUAUCAAAUCAACCAUUCAUGCCAAUAUUGCCAUAAGCUAAUCAAUUAGAAUCAUGAAUUUACAACACACAAAAACAGUCUCCAAUUGCUCUAUUUUCAAACCAUCAUUCAAUUUUAAAACAAUUUUAUGAAAUCAUUUCAUUAAAUCACAUUUUGUUUAUAAAACCAAAAAAUUAAUCAUUUAAUUCAUUUUCCAUAAAAUUCACAAAAUCGAAUAAAACAUACUUUAGAUAAUUAAGAUGAUGAUAAGGUUACUCACUAUUUCGGGAGUCAAAUUCCAAGUACUCCGAUUCUUGAUCCUCGGGUACUAUCUCUUUACUUUUGCCAAAAUGCUCACCACCUAGACAGAAUGCACAAUAAGCCAUUUACUACAUUUGUGCUAAAUUAUUAUAAAACCAAUUCAAGCUUUAUACUGAUGUAUGAAAUGGGAUGCAAAUUGUUCGGAUUAUUGUCUAAACACGGUGUUCUACACAAAUUUAAUUGUGUACAUAAAUUAAACGGUAUUGACCUAAUUCGAUCUAUCACUCGAUUAAUUGGCCAGUACGUCCAAUUCAACUCCAAAUAAUUUCAUUUUUCUCUCAAUACUCCAAUCAUCAAACACAAAUUAAAUAACUUGAAAUAUGGCAAGAUCAUCCUCACAUUUUCUCUUGGAAAAUUCGGCCAUGGUGGGUGCACAUCACUAUAAUUUUUCCUACUUGAUUCUCACACCAUAAAUCACUAAUUCUUAACCAAAUCACUGAAAAUAAAAUCAAAAUCAUCCUCAAUAUUCCACAUGGAGAAUUCGGUCAAUGAUGGGUGAUGGAAGAACAUGAAUUUUUCUUGCUUGAUCUUCAUGCUACACAUCACUAACUAACUAAAAACACUAAAAUAUCUUAAAAUCUAACCAAAUCAAGCAUCAAAACUUCUCUCUAAAUGUUCAGCCAGCAAGAUACCCAUUAUGAAAUCAUGUGAUUCAACCAUGGAAAAUGCAAAAGAAUUCAUGGGAAAGGUAGAUCACAAGUCAAAAUCAAGAAAUUUUACCUUUGAUUGCUUGAUUACUUGAAAUCCACCAAUUUCUCUUGAAUUUUCACCCUAUGGUUCUUGUUCUUUCUUUUCUUCCUUUGUUCUUCCUUUGGC
This 7585-nucleotide long non-coding RNA is filed under the name Theobroma cacao (cacao). RNAcentral's name for it is "long non-coding RNA (TCAC_LNC001224)". The record is from RNAcentral. Lineage: Eukaryota; Viridiplantae; Streptophyta; Magnoliopsida; Malvales; Malvaceae.